This 126-nucleotide small RNA is filed under the name Marmota monax (woodchuck). The record is from RNAcentral. Lineage: Eukaryota; Metazoa; Chordata; Mammalia; Rodentia; Sciuridae.
GCUGGGUGUGUGCCUCACACCUGUAAUCCCAUCCACAUGGGAGGCUGAGGCAGGAGGACUGCAAGUUUAAGGCCAGCCCCAGCAACUUAGUGAGACUCUCAACAACUCUGUGAGACCCUGUCUCAA